Long non-coding RNA from Grus americana (Whooping crane), 3587 nucleotides. RefSeq lists it as uncharacterized. Lineage: Eukaryota; Metazoa; Chordata; Aves; Gruiformes; Gruidae. The transcript has 6 exons. The record is from RefSeq and is a predicted model, not a curated record.
GGAAAUUGGGAGGAGACCUUGUCCUUCAAUUUAACCAUGGGAUCAAAGCCCAGCUGAAGCUGGAGAGGUUCUGUCAUUGAUUUCUGUUUGUCUUUCUGCCUUUCCCUUCUCUGUCACUGCCCGUUCUCCUGUUAUCCGCUCUAGGGAUAAGCAAAUACCCCACAGCAAAGCUCAGACUUCUUUGUCGAGGGUAAUGCUGUGGCUUUGCAGGACAGAUACUGAAGCACCUUGAGAAAGCGGAAAGAUGGGAGCUUAACAUAGCAUGUCAUUUGCCAGGGGAAGCAAUGCCCUCCAGAUCCUCUGCUGGGAAGUUGAGAGCUGCCCCAAAACAUUCACAAGUAGAAGAUGCCCUCCAUGCCCUUUUAAUAGCUUUCCUGGCUUGCUCAACCUCUCAAAGACUGGAGCAAGAAAAUACUGUAACUGAUGGAGAUUGGCCACGGGAAAUCUAUCAAAAUUAUGUCCAAAUUGCUUUUGGGAGCAACAUUGCAACUGCCCGAGGAAGGAGAACAUGUUCAACCAGACCUGUUCAGACUAGACUGUAACUUCCUUCGCAUCCCUCAGAAGGUUCACAGACUCUUCAGAAGAGCCACCAUGUUCUGCUGACCUCUGGGAGGCUUUGCCGUGUACUGCAGCUCCCGAGCGAAGUUUGUACACCGAAGAUGUGUGUGACAUGGACGCCCUCUAAAGGAAAGAGCUGAGAGAACUCGAUUAAGUCCCACACAGGUGAAAUUGCAGAGAUUUAGGGGAGCAUGGGCAUGGGUGAGGCGAUUAUCAUCUCUCUUCAUCCAGGGUUUUUGUUCUGCCUCUAAAAUAUGCUUGGAAACAUUAUCUAUGCACUGCAGCCAUGAAUAAUUACAGCCAAUCUACUGCACACUUAGCUCCUGCCUUUCUCCUGAGCUUUUAAUUGUUGAGUCAGUUCACUACUUGGUACCUGGCAAAGCUUAUCCAUUUAUUUUUUAUAAUAAGCAGACAGUUACUCUAUGGUCCGAGCAGCUUCCACUCAAAAAUCAAGAUGGUGGCAAAUCCCUCAGCACAUCCGAGUCUAAGUCUUCUCUCCUUCCAGGAUCUGAACUCUGCACAAGGGAGGAUUUUAGUUGUUUUGUUUGAUAUUUAAAAAACCCCUUAUGUCCCUUGGGAACUUAAAGGGCUAAUUCUAGUUAUGAGGUUUUAUAUAUUUGCUUAUUCAGAAAGUUAGAAGUAGUCAGGCAGAUUGCCAGCCACAUCUUCACACAGCAAAGGCCGCUGCAGUGAAGGCUGCGUUAAUUACUGCCAUUCUGUGUCACUGCCUGCCUCCCUGCCAGGCCGAACACCCAUGCAGCAGGCUCCUGCAGGGCAGAAAGACGCUGAAGAGCUCUCAUGUCCUCAUGCCAGAGCAUGCGACUCCCUGCAGGCUCCUUCCUCCAGGCUCCUUCCCAGCCUGCCAGGGCAGCCUGCGAGGCAUUCUGCAGCUAGCAAAGGGCACAGAGGGCUGGGGAAGACCUCGUAGUCAGCCACUUACGUUGGAAGCAGCUUAUUUUUAACAACACAUUGGCAUCUCUUUACAGCCUUCUUGCACCACUGUAAGGAAAUAAAAAAAGGUGCCUCUUGCAGUCUGUUGACUUUAAGAGAGAUUUUCAAGAAACAACAUGGGCCAUUCUGGAAAGGGCUCACGAGUCAGGUUAAAUCAAUGCUCUGGAAAAAAAAUAAAUCAGGUUCUAAAAUAGGAACAAGGCCAGGAGGAUCCAGGCACUAAAAAUAAGCAUGAAGUCAUACUGCCUUUCCCUGGGAACUUGACUGCCUUGCUGCAGAAGGGCCUCCCGGAGCACAGGGCUGCCCGGUGCAGGCAGCAGCACGGGGCCGCCUUGCUGCCAUCAGAGGGAAUCCAGGAGCAGAGAGACACCAGGCUCGUCAGCCGCGCUUCCCUCCAGCUCAUGGCGCACAGCUCUUUCGGAUAACUCGAGGUGUUGCUUUCACAGACUCAGCAGUCCAGGUGGCCAGGUCAGAAAACAGAUGAGAUGGCCGCAUCACACAACACCAACGCUGAAAGCGCACUCUUGCUAUUGCUGUGCAGAACCAGGAAACCUUCCACGAGCACAUCUUCGAUUCAAAUCCUCCACUUCUCAGACAUUUCAGGGGUGACACUGGUUAAACACAGGGCUUUCAUCUGUACUCAGACUUCUCUGCUUUCAGACUCAGAUUUGCCUGCUUUCCAUUUCCAGCCACUGGAGCUUUUCACCACAAGGGUGUGGAUAAAGCUUUGGGGCCAGAAAGUGGCUAUUAGCUAUUCUUAUUUUUCCUCCCCUUGGUUCUGUUAUUGUUCAUAAGCUAAACAGGAUCCUAUAGAUUUCAUGGUACGUUUUAACAGUGAAGGAUAAUCAUAGUACAUACUAGAAACAUCACAAAUUCAAAGCACGGCACACACAUUUACUAACUAAUCUCUGACUAAUCCCCAAUCUCCAGCUAAUUAGUCUUUUUUGAAGUGUGCCCCUUCCUACACUAGCUAAUACUUGUUCAGCCUUUUGAAGCAUUUAGCAUGCUAAGUACAAUCAUGCAUGUCUCCCUAGUAAACAGGGCACAUGAAGAAGGAAUAAAUGCAAUUAACAAGCAGCACAAUGGUGCAAAAGUUCUGUGUAUGGAGCCCAGGCCUAGCUCUGAGCUCACGUACCACCACCGAAGCUGACCCCAGCCACCUCCAGGCUUCCCUGCAUUGGCUGCUGAGCCCUCAGCUGAGGUUACAGCUGCAGAAGUGGCCUCUGGAAGAGUCAACCCUCACCCUAGUGCUAAAUUAAACAUGCUUAGGUCUUUGUCUUUCUCUUGCCUCCACCGUAGCAGACACAGGAUGGAGCAAGGGCAACGACCCUCCCCAUGGCCCCUGUCAGAGGCACCCCAUCACCCUCACCCACCCCCCAGACGCCCACUGUCACACUCCAGGCCCACCCCUGCACCCCGAGAGCCGGGCCCGGUGCCUCGGGCGAUGCCCCGGCCAUACGGAGGGCAGCGGGGCUGAACAAGGCCGGCGGGAGAGGCUGCUGCCCGCCGCUGAGGGACGGGACUACACUUCCCAUCAGCCCCCGCGCCUCCCGCGAGCCUGGGCGGGCGCGCGCAGCCCGCGCCCCCCCCCCCCUCUCCGCGUUCGCUUCCGGACGACAUGGCGGCUGGGCUGCGGGCGAGCAUGGCAUGGUGUCAAGCAAGAAUAACAACACUCACCUGCCUGGGAAGCUGAUUCCUUCCCUGAACUGACAGUAAACCUGCACAAUGGAGGAAAUAUUCCUGCAGAACCCUGGGGCUGUACCUUCUCCCAAAGUCAGCUUUGGCAAAAGGGCAGCUGCUAAGUUGGGCAUCAGGCUGAAGAUCAAUAACAUUCACUGACAGGCUGAACCAACAGACUUGAUGACAGUGGACUUCCUUAAAUUAAGCUCUAGAAGGAAGAUUGGAGCAGGUCUCACAAAUGGCUGCUGCUGGGUGUAAAAUGGCCACCUGUGCGUAGCCUCAGGCUCCUCUUCGCUGCUUGGUGGUUGCUGCAACCACUUCAUUGGACCUGAUCUACAGGAGGAAGAAGUGGUUCCCUACUGUCUUCUGUUCCAGAAUAAAAUAAGUUAUGGAAAAAU